This 97-nucleotide microRNA precursor is filed under the name Felis catus (domestic cat). RNAcentral describes it as "mir-544 microRNA precursor family". It matches the Rfam family "mir-544 microRNA precursor family". The record is from Rfam by way of RNAcentral. Lineage: Eukaryota; Metazoa; Chordata; Mammalia; Carnivora; Felidae. RNAcentral also lists the same sequence under 1 other name.
GUCACCUGGGGAUCUUGUUAAAAUGCAGAUUCUGAUUUAGUGGGUCAGAGUUGGGCCCACAUUUCUGCAUUUCUAACAAGCUCCCAAGUAAUCCCAA